GACGAACGCUGGCGGCGUGCUUAACACAUGCAAGUCGAACGGAAAGGCCUGCUUUCCCUUGUGGAUUGCGGGUACUCGAGUGGCGAACGGGUGAGUAACACGUGAGUGAUCUGCCCCCAACUUGGGUAUAAGCCUGGGAAACUGGGUCUAAUUCCCGAUAGGACUGCAGGGUGGUGCCUGUGGUGGAAAACGAUUUUCUAGUGGUUGGGGAUGAGCUCGCGGCCUAUCAGCUUGUUGGUGGGGUAAUGGCCUACCAAGGCGGCGACGGGUAGCCGGCCUGAGGGGGUGGACGGCCACAUUGGGACUGAGAUACGGCCCAGACUCCUACGGGAGGCAGCAGUGGGGAAUAUUGCACAAUGGGCGGAAGCCUGAUGCAGCGGCGCCGCGUGGGGGAUGACGGCCUUCGGGUUGUAAACUCCUUUCGACCGCGAGGAAGCCACCUGGUUGGAAGGGUGGUGACGGUAGUGGUAGAAGAAGCACCGGCUAACUACGUG
This 494-nucleotide ribosomal RNA is filed under the name uncultured bacterium. Its description in RNAcentral is "partial 16S ribosomal RNA". It matches the Rfam family "Bacterial small subunit ribosomal RNA", at positions 28 to 507 of the family's 1533-position model. The record is from RNAcentral.